This 253-nucleotide ribosomal RNA is filed under the name uncultured bacterium. RNAcentral describes it as "partial 16S ribosomal RNA". It matches the Rfam family "Bacterial small subunit ribosomal RNA", at positions 524 to 776 of the family's 1533-position model. The record is from RNAcentral.
GACGUAGGAUGCGAGCGUUAUUCGGAUUUAUUGGGCGUAAAGCGUGCGUAGGCGGCUAUUUAAGUCUGGUGUUAAAGCUAGGGGCUCAACCCCUGUGGUGCAUCGGAUACUGGGUAGCUUGAGUGCGGUAGGGGAAGGUGGAAUUCCGAGUGUAGCGGUGAAAUGCGUAGAUAUUCGGAAGAACACCGGUGGCGAAGGCGACCUUCUGGGCCGCAACUGACGCUGAGGCACGAAAGCCUGGGGAGCGAACGGG